RNAcentral lists this ribosomal RNA (538 nucleotides) under uncultured bacterium. RNAcentral describes it as "bacterial SSU rRNA". It matches the Rfam family "Bacterial small subunit ribosomal RNA", at positions 62 to 590 of the family's 1533-position model. The record is from RNAcentral.
UCGAGGGGCAGCAUCAUCAAAGCUUGCUUUGAUGGAUGGCGACCGGCGCACGGGUGAGUAACACGUAUCCAACCUGCCGACAACACUGGGAUAGCCUUUCGAAAGAAAGAUUAAUACCGGAUGGCAUAAUUAUUCCGCAUGGGAUAAUUAUUAAAGAAUUUCGGUUGUCGAUGGGGAUGCGUUCCAUUAGGCAGUUGGCGGGGUAACGGCCCACCAAACCUACGAUGGAUAGGGGUUCUGAGAGGAAGGUCCCCCACAUUGGAACUGAGACACGGUCCAAACUCCUACGGGAGGCAGCAGUGAGGAAUAUUGGUCAAUGGACGAGAGUCUGAACCAGCCAAGUAGCGUGAAGGAUGACUGCCCUAUGGGUUGUAAACUUCUUUUAUACGGGAAUAAAGUUAGCCACGUGUGGCUUUUUGUAUGUACCGUAUGAAUAAGGAUCGGCUAACUCCGUGCCAGCAGCCGCGGUAAUACGGAGGAUCCGAGCGUUAUCCGGAUUUAUUGGGUUUAAAGGGAGCGUAGGCGGGUUGUUAAGUCA